ACUACGGGGGGCAGCAGUGGGGAAUAUUGCACAAUGGGGGGAACCCUGAUGCAGCGACGCCGCGUGAGUGAAGAAGUAUUUCGGUAUGUAAAGCUCUAUCAGCAGGGAAGAAAAUGACGGUACCUGACUAAGAAGCCCCGGCUAACUACGUGCCAGCAGCCGCGGUAAUACGUAGGGGGCAAGCGUUAUCCGGAUUUACUGGGUGUAAAGGGAGCGCAGACGGCUGUGCAAGUCUGGAGUGAAAGGCGGGGGCCCAACCCCCGGACUGCUCUGGAAACUGUAAAGCUGGAGUGCAGGAGAGGUAAGCGGAAUUCCUAGUGUAGCGGUGAAAUGCGUAGAGAUUAGGAGGAACACCAGUGGCGAAGGCGGCUUACUGGACUGCAACUGACGUUGAGGCUCGAAAGCGUGGGGAGCAAACAGGAUUAGAUACCCCAGUAGUC
Molecule: ribosomal RNA, 440 nt
Filed under: uncultured bacterium
Lineage: Bacteria
Description: partial 16S ribosomal RNA
Rfam family: Bacterial small subunit ribosomal RNA
Source: RNAcentral